AGGGUGGUGGAACAUUCCCAGAUGAACCGAAUGUCUGCCCAGAGCCUGGCCAUUGUCUUCGGCCCAACUCUGCUGCGACCGGAAAAGGAUUUCCUCAACAUGGCCAUACACACAGUCUACCAGAACCAGAUUGUGGAGCUCAUCCUGAUCGAGUACAGCAGCCUGUUCGCCCCAGAGAGCAGGCCACCGUGACCCCAUGAAGAAUGGCAUCUCUUUGGAAUCCUCUGGAGUGUGCGACGAGAGAAGACGACCGAUCUCUAUGGGUAUGGGUGCCAGACCUGCCCUGCCCUUAGCACCCUGAUGUCAUCUCCUUCCCCAUACCACCCCCACCCCCUAUGAUGUGGCCAGACGGUUCCUCGGACAGGCCCCCCUGGGAACCUCGCUGUUUCCUGCUGUUGCCUCUCUCCCUGUCUCCCUGACUGAGCUUGGUCCCCUGUUGCCAGUGCCUGCUGGCUCCCAGUGACUGAGACCAGGAGACCAGGAGGGCAGGAGCCUUGCUGUGUUUGAUCGAAUACAAACCAACCUCAUCUGUCUCUCUGUGUGUGUGUGUGUGGGGGAGAGAGAGAGAGAGAGAGAGACAGAGACAGCUGGAGCAAUCUCUCUCUCUCCACUGCCUUUCUCGUGUUUCGCUGCCGGGACAGGAGCUUGCAAAUACGUGACAGCGAGCAAACGCCUCCAAGAUUUGUUUUUACAUAUAAGGCAGAGAAUUUAUAUUUUUCACUCGCUAAUGGAAAGCACUUGCAAGAAUAAAUUGGCACUGAUUCUGA
Molecule: long non-coding RNA, 767 nt
Organism: Rhincodon typus (whale shark)
Lineage: Eukaryota; Metazoa; Chordata; Chondrichthyes; Orectolobiformes; Rhincodontidae
Exons: 2
Source: RefSeq, a predicted model, not a curated record